RNAcentral lists this ribosomal RNA (541 nucleotides) under Clostridioides difficile. RNAcentral's name for it is "partial 23S ribosomal RNA". It matches the Rfam family "Bacterial large subunit ribosomal RNA", at positions 1 to 545 of the family's 2925-position model. The record is from RNAcentral. Lineage: Bacteria; Bacillati; Bacillota; Clostridia; Peptostreptococcales; Peptostreptococcaceae.
UGGUCAAGUUAUUAAGGGUGCAGGGCGGAUGCCUUGGCACUAGGAGCCGAUGAAGGACGUGAUAAGCUGCGAUAAGCUUCGGGGAGUUGCACGUAAACUUUGAUCCGAAGAUUUCCGAAUGAGGAAACUCACUUAGAGUAAUGUCUAAGUAUCAUUAAGUGAAUACAUAGCUUAAUGAGGGGAACUCAGGGAACUGAAACAUCUAAGUACCUGAAGGAAGAGAAAGAAAUUCGAUUCCGUAAGUAGCGGCGAGCGAACGCGGAUUAGCCCAAACUAAUAAAGUUUUCUUUAUUGGGGUUGCGGACAUAUCAUAACGAAGAGGUAUCGUAAUUGAAGAGGUUUGGAAAGACCCACCACAGAAGGUAAUAGUCCUGUAUGUUAAACGAGAAGACUUUAGAUAUGAUCCAGAGUACCACGGGACACGUGAAACCCUGUGGGAAGCAGGAGGGACCACCCUCCAAGGCUAAAUACUACCUAGUGACCGAUAGCGUAUAGUACCGUGAGGGAAAGGUGAAAAGAACCCCGGGAGGGGAGUGAAAUA